This 253-nucleotide ribosomal RNA is filed under the name uncultured bacterium. RNAcentral's name for it is "partial 16S ribosomal RNA". It matches the Rfam family "Bacterial small subunit ribosomal RNA", at positions 524 to 776 of the family's 1533-position model. The record is from RNAcentral.
UACGUAGGGGGCUAGCGUUGUCCGGAAUCAUUGGGCGUAAAGAGCGUGUAGGCGGCCCGGUAAGUCCGCUGUGAAAGUCGGGGGCUCAACCCUCGAAAGCCGGUGGAUACUGUCGGGCUAGAGUGCGGAAGAGGAGAGUGGAAUUCCUGGUGUAGCGGUGAAAUGCGCAGAUAUCAGGAGGAACACCAAUUGCGAAGGCAGCUCGCUGGGACGUUACUGACGCUGAGACGCGAAAGCGUGGGGAGCAAACAGG